ACGAACGCUGGCGGCGUGCCUAUACAUGCAAGUCGAGCGGACUGAUUAAGAGCUUGCUCUUCUGACGUUAGCGGCGGACGGGUGAGUAACACGUGGGCAACCUGCCCUGUAGAUCGGGAUAACACCGAGAAAUCGGUGCUAAUACCGGGUAAUAUCUGAGAUCACAUGAUCUUAGGUUAAAAGAUGGCUCCGGCUAUCACUACAGGAUGGGCCCGCGGCGCAUUAGCUAGUUGGUAAGGUAAUGGCUUACCAAGGCGACGAUGCGUAGCCGACCUGAGAGGGUGAUCGGCCACACUGGGACUGAGACACGGCCCAGACUCCUACGGGAGGCAGCAGUAGGGAAUCUUCCGCAAUGGACGAAAGUCUGACGGAGCAACGCCGCGUGAGUGAUGAAGGGUUUCGGCUCGUAAAGCUCUGUUGUUAGGGAAGAAACAGUACCGAACGAACUAGGUCGGUACCUUGACGGUACCUAACCAGAAAGCCACGGCUAACUACGUG
This 498-nucleotide ribosomal RNA is filed under the name uncultured bacterium. Its description in RNAcentral is "partial 16S ribosomal RNA". It matches the Rfam family "Bacterial small subunit ribosomal RNA", at positions 29 to 507 of the family's 1533-position model. The record is from RNAcentral.